This 440-nucleotide ribosomal RNA is filed under the name uncultured Anaerolineaceae bacterium. RNAcentral describes it as "bacterial SSU rRNA". It matches the Rfam family "Bacterial small subunit ribosomal RNA", at positions 338 to 795 of the family's 1533-position model. Lineage: Bacteria; Bacillati; Chloroflexota; Anaerolineae; Anaerolineales; Anaerolineaceae. The record is from RNAcentral.
CCUACGGGGGGCUGCAGUAGGGAAUAUUAGUAAUGGGCGAAAGCCUGAACUAGCGACACCGCGUGUGCGAAGAAGGCCUUCGGGUUGUAAAGCACUUUUAGAGAGGAUGAGGAAGGACGGUACUCUCUGAAUAAGUCUCGGCUAACUACGUGCCAGCAGCCGCGGUAACACGUAGGAGGCAAACGUUAUCCGGAUUUACUGGGCGUAAAGCGCGUGUAGGUGGUUCUGUAAGUAGGGCGUGAAAGCUCCUGGCUCAACUGGGAGAGGCCGUUCUAAACUGCAGAGCUAGAGGAUGGUAGAGGAAGGUGGAAUUCCGGGUGUAGCGGUGGAAUGCGCAGAUAUCCGGAGGAACACCAGUGGCGAAGGCGGCCUUCUGGACCAUUCCUGACACUCAGACGCGAAAGCUAGGGUAGCAAACGGGAUUAGAUACCCGAGUAGUC